GAAAUUGCUUAGAAGAGAUGAGUAGUCGCGGGCAGCCCUUAAAGAGAACCGGGUUAGGUGAGAGCCGGGAUCGUGAAACGCGAUGAAGAUGGUCUUGGAGCAAGUCGGUAGGCGAGCCAAUGGUAAGCCGGCCGCUGGGUGACGCCCGUUAUCAUCGUCCGGGUCUUCUAAUUUUAGAGUACUCAGUAAGGGCUAGAUUGUGAGGUCUAGCUGAAUCAGGGUGGUAACACGUUGAAUAAGCAGUCAACGUCCCUGGG
RNAcentral lists this non-coding RNA (257 nucleotides) under Limosilactobacillus mucosae. Lineage: Bacteria; Bacillati; Bacillota; Bacilli; Lactobacillales; Lactobacillaceae. The record is from RNAcentral.